RNAcentral lists this ribosomal RNA (240 nucleotides) under Fusobacterium necrophorum. RNAcentral's name for it is "16S rRNA. Bacterial SSU". It matches the Rfam family "Bacterial small subunit ribosomal RNA", at positions 1 to 248 of the family's 1533-position model. Lineage: Bacteria; Fusobacteriati; Fusobacteriota; Fusobacteriia; Fusobacteriales; Fusobacteriaceae. The record is from RNAcentral.
AUCGAACGAAGAGUUUGAUCCUGGCUCAGGAUGAACGCUGACAGAAUGCUUAACACAUGCAAGUCGACUCGAGUCUUCGGACUUGGGUGGCGCACGGGUGAGUAACGCGUAAAGAACUUGCCUCUUAGACCGGGACAACAUCUGGAAACGGAUGCUAAUACCGGAUAUUAUGGUUUUUUCGCAUGGAGGAAUCAUGAAAGCUAGAUGCGCUAAGAGAGAGCUUUGCGUCCCAUUAGCUAG